Molecule: ribosomal RNA, 394 nt
Filed under: uncultured bacterium
Lineage: Bacteria
Description: partial 16S ribosomal RNA
Rfam family: Bacterial small subunit ribosomal RNA
Source: RNAcentral
AUACGUAGGGGACGAGCGUUGUCCGGAAUUACUGGGCGUAAAGGGCGCGCAGGCGGAUAUUUAAGUCAGCUGUAAAAGGCAUGAGCUCAACUCAUGUAUGCGGUUGAAACUGGGUAUCUAGAGUGCUGGAGAGGUAGGCGGAAUUCCCGGCGUAGCGGUGAAAUGCGUAGAUAUAGGGAAGAACACCAGUGGCGAAGGCGGAUUAGUGGCCAGCAACGGACGCUGAGGCGCGAAAGCCAGGGGAGCGGACGGGAUUAGAUGCCCCGGGAGUCCUGGCCGUAAACGAUGAAUGCUAGGUGUGGGUGUCGAGAGGCAUCCGUGCCGGAGUUAACGCGAUAAGCAUUCCGCCUGGGGAGUACGAUCGCAAGAUUGAAACUUAAAGGAAUUGACGGGG